This 362-nucleotide non-coding RNA is filed under the name uncultured Phytobacter sp. The record is from RNAcentral. Lineage: Bacteria; Pseudomonadati; Pseudomonadota; Gammaproteobacteria; Enterobacterales; Enterobacteriaceae.
UCGCACACUGAAAUGAACAUCAGGAUGAUGUUGUUUCGAAGCAGGAAUACACCGAGGACGGUGCUACAAGGAAAGGCUUCAGGACGAAGCGAAAGGAAAUUGCAGGAGUGCAUUAAGGGACACCUCCAGGAAGGAGAACGAGAGCCGGUCAGGAUGUUCGGUGGAUCAUGAAGAUCAAGGACACGCUUUACGGAUGACGCUAUUCCACAUCGGGGUGAUGUGGGCAGGAUGCACGGUUUAAGGAUGAACAGGUCAGGAGACCACAGGAAAAGUUGUCAAGGAUGAGCAGGGAGCACCAAAAGUAGCUGGACUGCUGCGAAACGAACCGGGAGCACUGUUUCUACAGUGCUCCCUUUUUUUAU